This 2324-nucleotide long non-coding RNA is filed under the name Malus domestica (apple). Its description in RNAcentral is "long non-coding RNA (MDOM_LNC009734)". Lineage: Eukaryota; Viridiplantae; Streptophyta; Magnoliopsida; Rosales; Rosaceae. The record is from RNAcentral.
UUUUUUUCCCACUUCUUUUGCUUCGCUUCUUCCGUAGCCGUUUGCUCUCCCCUCUCUUCGCCUCUACUGGUCUCAAAGUGGAUAGUUUUGUGGUGAGUUCUUCUAAUCUUGCAUCUACAAGUUUUUUAUGCAACUGUAUGGAUUGUGUUCUGUUAAAUUUUAGAUGUUAGAAGCUUUUAAUUUUUUUUGGGUUCAAUUUUAAAUGGGUUGUUGCUUUCAGAGUUUUCGUUUGAUGACAGAGAUGGGGUUUUUGGGGAGAAACUUUUAAUCCGUGAGUUUUUUAGUUAGGUUGUGUUGUGGGUCUUGAGAAAUGGAUUUGUAAAUGGAUUUUCUAUUGAAAUUGUUUCUCUUCUCAUUUUUUUUUUGUGCCAUCGGGUUUUGCAUAUGGGUGUAUAAUCAGGUUUUCUUUUGAAUUUCAGGGGAUUCAGGUUUUUAUUUUUCUGGAACUUUUGUCUGCAGCUUUGGAAGACAUUUGUGCUUAAGGUGAGAAACUUUGGUUGCUUGCUUUUGGGUUUUGUUGUAGAAUUAAUUAAUUUUUUUUAAGAGUUACAUUCGUGGGAAUUCUUUUGUUCUUCUUUUUUCCUGCAUCUCAAAAAUGCCACAUAAUGUGAGUUUAUAAUUAAAUAAGAAUAUCAAAAUGGGUUUUCUGUGCAAAUUUUCUUUUUCUGAUUUUAUAGAACCGAAGAGGAUGUUAACAAUAACAUUAUUGUGUGAUAUGCGAUCUAAAGUUCUUUGGUGAGUUAUUUGGUUUUCUUGCCACAUGGGAUUUUAACAUAUUUUUUUUUCGUGGUUUAUGCGUGGUUCUCUGAUAUGUUUUGAUUUUUUAUUUCAGGAAAAGUUAACGAUACGAUCAAACGUUUACUGGUGAAUUUUCUAUUUUUCUGAUUGUGUGUGAUUUAAUUUUUUUCAAGCUUUGGGUGUACUUUUCUGAACUGCUUUGAUUUUUAGUUGCAGCAAAAGUUGUUGCUCGAAUUUUCCAGUUUUUAUCUGCAGCUUUGCAAGCUCUUUAUCAACAAGGUAUAUAAUUUUUAUUCUUUUUCCUGAAUCUUUUGUUGGAUGGAAUCGUUUUUUUUGUUUUUGGUGAGUUCUUCUAAUCUCGCAUCUGGUACUGUUUUUUUUUCCGACUGUAUAGAUUGUGUUUUGUUGAAUUUUAAAUGGUAGAAGCUUCUUGGGUUCAAUUUAAAUGGGUUGUUAUCAACUAUUGAAUUGUUUUCGAAGCUAUUUGGCUACUCCCUUAACGCCCUUUUUCCUUUUCUUUUCAGCUUCUUUGAUUUGCAGCCCCCUUCUUUUUUUUCCUUUUCCAGAUUUAGCUUUUUUCCCCUAUAUUGUAUCUUUUGGCUAAUUUUGUGGGUCUUGGUCAGUGCUGUGGGUAUUGGUGAAUUUCUAGCAUGUUUAUGCAUGCAGUUUUUGUUAUAAUUUAUGGAUUGUGUUUUGUUCAAUUUUUAAAUGUCAGAAGCUCUUAAUUUUUUUGGGUUCAAUUUUAAAUGGGUUGUUAUCAACCAUUGAAUUUCUUUUGGAGUAUUCAUUUGAUAAGAGAGAUGGGGGGGGGGGGGGGUUCUUUUGGGUGAAACUUUUGAUCCGUGAGAUUUUUAGUUAGGUUGUGGUGUGGGUUUUCGCAAAUUUCUAUCGUGUUUAUGCAUGCUUUUUUUUGUUAUAGAUUUGGAAGAACAUAGCAUUACAGGGUGUUGAGGGUUUGCUGGCGGGGGAAAGUAGCAGCGUUAAGAUUUUGCAGGUGAGAUAUUAGGGUGAGAGAAUAACGGGACAAAGAGCAUCGAAGACACAUUUGGGAUUAGGGGUAGCAAAACAGGGGAAAAGAAUAUGACAGAGGAAUGGACUCUUAAUUUUUUUUCUUAACUGGUUUGGGAUUUUGCUUGCCUUUGGGGUCGUUGUUGGCGUCAAGCCAUUUGGUGGUGUUAAGUGGUGUCUGUUUUUUCAUAACUUUUAUUACUAAUUUUUAUGUUGUUUGCGAUUUUGUGUCCUGGGAUUUCUGAAUUUUAUCGUUCAUUGUCGGUUUUUUAAAUUUUUUUUUGUCUUCAUUUGUUUGUUUAAUAUGUUGUGUUUGUCCUGGGACGCCGUUUUGCAAGUUUUCUUUCCAUUGGGACCGCUACAUUUUAUAAGUGAUGCGGGUGAGGUUUAGAUACUCAAAACACUCCAUUUUUUUUUUUUUCCAAACAUGCACGUUUGGUUCUCUUCGGUUUUAAAUGUUUAAAAUUAAAUGGUUAUUUUGAUAAAAUGGUUUAUUAGUUUUUCUUAUGUGUUAUGAUCAGGAAUUCAAUUGGAUUGGGUAAAAUGCUUUAUCAAUUUACACUAUAGGGAAUUUUAUG